RNAcentral lists this ribosomal RNA (601 nucleotides) under uncultured bacterium. RNAcentral describes it as "bacterial SSU rRNA". It matches the Rfam family "Bacterial small subunit ribosomal RNA", at positions 185 to 804 of the family's 1533-position model. The record is from RNAcentral.
GUCGCAUGAUACAGUGUGAAAACACUCCGGUGGUAUGAGAUGGACCCGCGUCUGAUUAGCUAGUUGGUGAGGUAACGGCCCACCAAGGCGACGAUCAGUAGCCGGCCUGAGAGGGUGAACGGCCACAUUGGGACUGAGACACGGCCCAAACUCCUACGGGAGGCAGCAGUGGGGAAUAUUGCACAAUGGGGGAAACCCUGAUGCAGCGACGCCGCGUGAGUGAUGAAGUAUUUCGGUAUGUAAAGCUCUAUCAGCAGGGAAGAUAAUGACGGUACCUGACUAAGAAGCACCGGCUAAAUACGUGCCAGCAGCCGCGGUAAUACGUAUGGUGCAAGCGUUAUCCGGAUUUACUGGGUGUAAAGGGUGCGUAGGUGGCAAGGCAAGUCUGAAGUGAAAAUCCGGGGCUCAACCCCGGAACUGCUUUGGAAACUGUUUAGCUGGAGUACAGGAGAGGUAAGUGGAAUUCCUAGUGUAGCGGUGAAAUGCGUAGAUAUUAGGAGGAACACCAGUCGCGAAGGCGACUUACUGGACUGCUACUGACACUGAGGCACGAAAGCGUGGGGAGCAAACAGGAUCAGAUACCCUGGUAGUCCACGCCGUA